UUAGCAUGGAAUAAUGGAAUAGGACGUGUGGUUCUAUUUUGUUGGUUUCUAGGACCGCCGUAAUGAUUAAUAGGGAUAGUCGGGGGCAUCAGUAUUCAAUUGUCAGAGGUGAAAUUCUUGGAUUUAUUGAAGACUAACUACUGCGAAAGCAUUUGCCAAGGAUGUUUUCAUUAAUCAGUGAACGAAAGUUAGGGGAUCGAAGACGAUCAGAUACCGUCGUAGUCUUAACCAUAAACUAUGCCGACUAGGGAUCGGGCGAUGUUAUCUUUUUGACUCGCUCGGCACCUUACGAGAAAUCAAAGUUUUUGGGUUCUGGGGGGAGUAUGGUCGCAAGGCUGAAACUUAAAGAAAUUGACGGAAGGGCACCACCAGGAGUGGAGCUGCU
RNAcentral lists this ribosomal RNA (385 nucleotides) under uncultured fungus. RNAcentral describes it as "SSU rRNA". It matches the Rfam family "Eukaryotic small subunit ribosomal RNA", at positions 804 to 1190 of the family's 1831-position model. Lineage: Eukaryota; Fungi. The record is from RNAcentral.